GCUGAAAGCAUCUAAGCACGAAACUUGCCCCGAGAUGAGUUCUCCCUGACUCCUUGAGAGUCCUGAAGGAACGUUGAAGACUACGACGUUGAUAGGUCGGGUGUGUAAGCGUAGCGAUACGUUGAGCUAACCGAUACUAAUGAACCGUGAGGCUUAACCUUACAACGCCAAAGCUGUUUGG
Molecule: ribosomal RNA, 181 nt
Filed under: Bacillus sp. SRB_28
Lineage: Bacteria; Bacillati; Bacillota; Bacilli; Caryophanales; Bacillaceae
Description: partial 23S ribosomal RNA
Rfam family: Bacterial large subunit ribosomal RNA (bases 1-161)
Source: RNAcentral